UACGUAGGGGGCAAGCGUUAUCCGGAUUUACUGGGUGUAAAGGGAGCGUAGACGGCGAUGCAAGCCAGAUGUGAAAGCCCGGGGCUCAACCCCGGGACUGCAUUUGGAACUGUAUAGCUAGAGUGUCGGAGAGGCAGGCGGAAUUCCUAGUGUAGCGGUGAAAUGCGUAGAUAUUAGGAGGAACACCAGUGGCGAGGGCGGCCUGCUGGACGAUGACUGACGUUGAGGCUCGAAGGCGUGGGUAUCGAACAGG
This 253-nucleotide ribosomal RNA is filed under the name uncultured bacterium. RNAcentral describes it as "partial 16S ribosomal RNA". It matches the Rfam family "Bacterial small subunit ribosomal RNA", at positions 524 to 776 of the family's 1533-position model. The record is from RNAcentral.